This 563-nucleotide ribosomal RNA is filed under the name Tricharina striispora. RNAcentral describes it as "partial large subunit ribosomal RNA". It matches the Rfam family "Eukaryotic large subunit ribosomal RNA", at positions 71 to 647 of the family's 3401-position model. Lineage: Eukaryota; Fungi; Ascomycota; Pezizomycetes; Pezizales; Pyronemataceae. The record is from RNAcentral.
GGGAUUGCCUUAGUAACUGCGAGUGAAGCGGCAAAAGCUCAAAUUUGAAAUCGGGGUCCUUUUCGGGCUUCGAGUUGUAAUUUGGAGGGAUAACUUCGGUACGGACUACAUCGUAAGUUCCUUGGAACAGGACGUCAUAGAGGGUGAGAAUCCCGUGUCUUGGUGUUUGGCCGUGCCAUGUGAAGUGUCUCCGACGAGUCGAGUUGUUUGGGAAUGCAGCUCAAAAUGGGUGGUAAAUUUCAUCUAAAGCUAAAUAUUGGCGAGAGACCGAUAGCGCACAAGUAGAGUGAUCGAAAGAUGAAAAGCACUUUGAAAAGAGAGUUAAAAAGUACGUGAAAUUGUUGAAAGGGAAGCGCUUGCGACCAGACUCGAUCUUUGGUGAUCAGCCGGGCUUCUGUCCGGUGCCCUUACCAUUGAUUGGGCCAGCAUCGGUUCUGGCGGUGGGAUAAAAGGAGGAGGAAUGUGGCUCCCUUCGGGGAGUGUUAUAGCCUCCUUCACAAUGCCACCAGUUGGGACCGAGGACCGCGCUUCGGCUAGGAUGCUGGCGUAAUGGUCUUAAGCGA